AGAGUUGUGGCUCAGUGGAAGAGCCUCUGCUUUGCAUACAGAAGGUGCCAGGUUCAAUCCCAGGCACCUCCA
Molecule: transfer RNA, 72 nt
Filed under: Sphaerodactylus townsendi
Lineage: Eukaryota; Metazoa; Chordata; Lepidosauria; Squamata; Sphaerodactylidae
Description: tRNA-Ala
Rfam family: tRNA
About the family: Transfer RNA (tRNA) molecules are approximately 80 nucleotides in length. Their secondary structure includes four short double-helical elements and three loops (D, anti-codon, and T loops).
Source: RNAcentral